AGUGAACGCUGGCGGUAGGCCUAACACAUGCAAGUCGAACGGCAGCACAGUAAGAGCUUGCUCUUACGGGUGGCGAGUGGCGGACGGGUGAGGAAUACAUCGGAAUCUACUUUUUCGUGGGGGAUAACGUAGGGAAACUUACGCUAAUACCGCAUACGACCUACGGGUGAAAGCAUGGGAUCUUCGGACCUUGCGCGAUUGAAUGAGCCGAUGUUGGAUUAGCUAGUUGGCGGGGUAAAGGCCCACCAAGGCGACGAUCCGUAGCUGGUCUGAGAGGAUGAUCAGCCACACUGGAACUGAGACACGGUCCAGACUCCUACGGGAGGCAGCAGUGGGGAAUAUUGGACAAUGGGCGCAAGCCUGAUCCAGCCAUACCGCGUGAGUGAAGAAGGCCUUCGGGUUGUAAAGCCCUUUUGUUGGGAAAGAAAAGCAGCAGGUUAAUACCCCGCUGUUCUGACGGUACCCAAAGAAUAAGCACCGGCUAACUUCGUG
This 492-nucleotide ribosomal RNA is filed under the name uncultured bacterium. RNAcentral describes it as "partial 16S ribosomal RNA". It matches the Rfam family "Bacterial small subunit ribosomal RNA", at positions 29 to 507 of the family's 1533-position model. The record is from RNAcentral.